GACUCUCGGCAAUGGAUAUCUUGGCUCUUGCAUCGAUGAAGAGCGCAGCGAAAUGCGAUACGUGGUGUGAAUUGCAGAAUCCCGUGAACCAUCGAGUUUUUGAACGCAAGUUGCGCCCGAUGCCAAUUGGCUGAGGCACGUCCGCCUGGGCGUCAAGCAUUACGUCGCUUCAUUCG
RNAcentral lists this ribosomal RNA (176 nucleotides) under Sarcoglottis fasciculata. Its description in RNAcentral is "partial 5.8S ribosomal RNA". The stretch from base 1 to 155 matches the Rfam family "5.8S ribosomal RNA". From Rfam's summary of the family: 5.8S ribosomal RNA (5.8S rRNA) is a component of the large subunit of the eukaryotic ribosome. It is transcribed by RNA polymerase I as part of the 45S precursor that also contains 18S and 28S rRNA. The record is from RNAcentral. Lineage: Eukaryota; Viridiplantae; Streptophyta; Magnoliopsida; Asparagales; Orchidaceae.